Molecule: ribosomal RNA, 21 nt
Filed under: Ceropegia yemenensis
Lineage: Eukaryota; Viridiplantae; Streptophyta; Magnoliopsida; Gentianales; Apocynaceae
Description: partial 26S ribosomal RNA
Source: RNAcentral
GACCGCGACCUCAGGUCAGGC